This 229-nucleotide long non-coding RNA is filed under the name Prunus persica (peach). Its description in RNAcentral is "long non-coding RNA (PPER_LNC008629)". The record is from RNAcentral. Lineage: Eukaryota; Viridiplantae; Streptophyta; Magnoliopsida; Rosales; Rosaceae.
AGGAGUCAUUUGGUGGGUUUUGGGUGAAAUGCAAUCACUAGAACUAUACAAUCCACCAACCACCCCGUUUAUGAACGAACUUCGUACGAAUCUGAAUUGUCCGAUUUCAAGGACCAAUCGACAUUGGAUUGAGUUCGAAACUUUUGGAACAUCAUAAUAUUGUUGGAGUCGUUUGGUGGGUUUUGAGUGAAAUCCAAUCUCUAGAACUAUACAAUACACCAAUUACCCC